This 286-nucleotide ribosomal RNA is filed under the name Bacillus sp. (in: firmicutes). RNAcentral's name for it is "Bacillus sp. (in: Bacteria) partial 16S ribosomal RNA". It matches the Rfam family "Bacterial small subunit ribosomal RNA", at positions 306 to 586 of the family's 1533-position model. The record is from RNAcentral. Lineage: Bacteria; Bacillati; Bacillota; Bacilli; Caryophanales; Bacillaceae.
GGCCACACUGGGACUGAGACACGGCCCAGACUCCUACGGGAGGCAGCAGUAGGGAAUCUUCCGCAAUGGACGAAAGUCUGACGGAGCAACGCCGCGUGAGUGAUGAAGGUUUUCGGAUCGUAAAGCUCUGUUGUUAGGGAAGAACAAGUGCCGUUCGAAUAGGGGCCCUUGACGGUACCUAACCAGAAAGCCACGGCUAACUACGUGCCAGCAGCCGCGGUAAUACGUAGGUGGCAAGCGUUGUCCGGAAUUAUUGGGCGUAAAGCGCGCGCAGGUGGUUCCUUAA